AACGUAGGUGGCAAGCGUUGUCCGGAAUUAUUGGGCGUAAAGCGCGCGCAGGCGGUCCCUUAAGUCUGAUGUGAAAGCCCACGGCUCAACCGUGGAGGGUCAUUGGAAACUGGGGGACUUGAGUGCAGAAGAGGAAAGUGGAAUUCCAUGUGUAGCGGUGAAAUGCGUAGAGAUGUGGAGGAACACCAGUGGCGAAGGCGACUUUCUGGUCUGUAACUGACGCUGAGGCGCGAAAGCGUGGGGAGCAAACAGG
This 253-nucleotide ribosomal RNA is filed under the name uncultured bacterium. RNAcentral describes it as "partial 16S ribosomal RNA". It matches the Rfam family "Bacterial small subunit ribosomal RNA", at positions 524 to 776 of the family's 1533-position model. The record is from RNAcentral.